Molecule: ribosomal RNA, 435 nt
Filed under: Triticum aestivum (bread wheat)
Lineage: Eukaryota; Viridiplantae; Streptophyta; Magnoliopsida; Poales; Poaceae
Description: partial small subunit ribosomal RNA
Source: RNAcentral
AUGGCGGAAUUUGUGUUUACUGAUGUUGGAGUGCCGGUGCCUCCUGAUUCUGACAAAUCAGAACGCUUUCAAGAUUUUUUGAAUGUUAUUUUUGAGACACCAAAUCCCCUAGAAGAACUUGCGAAUGUUGCUGUUAAUGACAGCCAUGGUGUUCCUAAGUACAUUGCUGAUGUUGUUAAAGAUAUUAAUGAUGGAAUGUAUUCUCAAAGUUUUGAUGGCACUGAGCCUGUUACCCAGACUGAGGAUGUUCCUAUGCAGUUACAGCUCGAGGAUGAAAGGAUAAGAAAGAACAAGUAUGAUUUCCAGAGGAGAAAGGAGUUGGAACGGCGUCAAAAGGCUGCCUGUGUGCAACAAAGUGAUGAGGAUGUUGCUCAAGAUCCUAAAUGUGUAGGCGAUGAAGGUGGUGACGCUGCCUUUUCAACUGUUGAUGCCUGA